AGCAGCCGCGGUAAUUCCAGCUCCAAUAGCGUAUAUUAAAGUUGUUGCAGUUAAAAAGCUCGUAGUUGAAUUUCGGGAUCAAGGAAUCGGUCAUGCCUCGGUAUGUACUGGUUUUAUUGGUUCUCACCUUCUAAAGAACCAUAAUGUCAUUCAUUUGAUGUUAUGGGGAAUUAGGACUGUUACCUUGAAAAAAUUAGAGUGUUUAAAGCAGGCUUACGCUUGAAUACAUUAGCAUGGAAUAAUGAAAUAGGACAUCAGAUUCUAUUUUGUUGGUUUCUAGGAUCGAUGUAAUGAUUAAUAGGGAUAGUUGGGGGCAUUAGUAUUCAAUUGUCAGAGGUGAAAUUCUUGGAUUUUAUUGAAGACUAACUACUGCGAAAGCAUUUGCCAAGGAUGUUUUCAUUAAUCAAGAACGAAAGUUAGGGGAUCGAAGACGAUCAGAUACCGUCGUAGUCUUAAACCNUAAAACCUAUAGCCGACUAGGGAUCGGAUGAUGUUAAUUUUAUAAUGACUCAUUC
RNAcentral lists this ribosomal RNA (515 nucleotides) under uncultured Glomus. Its description in RNAcentral is "SSU rRNA". It matches the Rfam family "Eukaryotic small subunit ribosomal RNA", at positions 569 to 1081 of the family's 1831-position model. Lineage: Eukaryota; Fungi; Glomeromycota; Glomeromycetes; Glomerales; Glomeraceae. The record is from RNAcentral.